RNAcentral lists this ribosomal RNA (277 nucleotides) under Clostridioides difficile. RNAcentral describes it as "partial 23S ribosomal RNA". It matches the Rfam family "Bacterial large subunit ribosomal RNA", at positions 1894 to 2170 of the family's 2925-position model. The record is from RNAcentral. Lineage: Bacteria; Bacillati; Bacillota; Clostridia; Peptostreptococcales; Peptostreptococcaceae.
AGCAAUCGAAGCAGGGAACUUAAGCCCCAGUAAACGGCGGCCGUAACUAUACCGGUCCUAAGGUAGCGAAAUUCCUUGUCGGGUAAGUUCCGACCCGCACGAAAGGCGUAACGAUUUGGGCACUGUCGCAACAACAGACUCGGUGAAAUUGUAAUUCCGGUGAAGAUGCCGGAGACCUGCGACAGGACGGAAAGACCCCAUGGAGCUUUACUGUAGCUUGACAUUGGGUCUUGGUACUACAUGUACAGGAUAGGUGGGAGGCUUUGAAACCAGGACG